Molecule: ribosomal RNA, 625 nt
Filed under: Vibrio sp. MSSRF12
Lineage: Bacteria; Pseudomonadati; Pseudomonadota; Gammaproteobacteria; Vibrionales; Vibrionaceae
Description: bacterial SSU rRNA
Rfam family: Bacterial small subunit ribosomal RNA
Source: RNAcentral
GAACGAGAGAAAGCUUGCUUUCUCGUCGUCGAGCGGCGGACGGGUGAGUAAAGCCUGGGAAAUUGCCCUGAUGUGGGGGAUAACCAUUGGAAACGAUGGCUAAUACCGCAUGAUGUCUACGGCCAAAGAGGGGGACCUUCGGGCCUCUCGCGUCAGGAUAUGCCCAGGUGGGAUUAGCUAGUUGGUGGGGUAAUGGCUCACCAAGGCGACGAUCCCUAGCUGGUCUGAGAGGAUGAUCAGCCACACUGGAACUGAGACACGGUCCAGACUCCUACGGGAGGCAGCAGUGGCGAAUAUUGCACAAUGGGCGCAAGCCUGAUGCAGCCAUGCCGCGUGUAUGAAGAAGGCCUUCGGGUUGUAAAGUACUUUCAGCAGUGAGGAAGGAUGUAGUAUUAACAGAGCUGCAUUUUGACGUUAGCUGCAGAAGAAGCACCGGCUAACUCCGUGCCAGCAGCCGCGGUAAUACGGAGGGUGCGAGCGUUAAUCGGAAUUACUGGGCGUAAAGCGCAUGCAGGUGGUCUGUUAAGUCAGAUGUGAAAGCCCGGGGCUUAACCCCGGAGUUGCAUUUGAAACUGGCAGGCUAGAGUACUGUAGAGGGGGGUAGAAUUUCAGGUGUAGCGGUGAA